Molecule: ribosomal RNA, 484 nt
Filed under: uncultured bacterium
Lineage: Bacteria
Description: partial 16S ribosomal RNA
Rfam family: Bacterial small subunit ribosomal RNA
Source: RNAcentral
AUUGAACGCUGGCGGCAGGCCUAACACAUGCAAGUCGAGCGGAUGAAGGGAGCUUGCUCCUGGAUUCAGCGGCGGACGGGUGAGUAAUGCCUAGGAAUCUGCCUGGUAGUGGGGGAUAACGUCCGGAAACGGGCGCUAAUACCGCAUACGUCCUGAGGGAGAAAGUGGGGGAUCUUCGGACCUCACGCUAUCAGAUGGGCCUAGGUCGGAUUAGCCAGUUGGUGGGGUAAAGGCCUACCAAGGCGACGAUCCGUAACUGGUCUGAGAGGAUGAUCAGUCACACUGGAACUGAGACACGGUCCAGACUCCUACGGGAGGCAGCAGUGGGGAAUAUUGGACAAUGGGCGAAAGCCUGAUCCAGCCAUGCCGCGUGUGUGAAGAAGGUCUUCGGAUUGUAAAGCACUUUAAGUUGGGAGGAAGGGCAGUAAGUUAAUACCUUGCUGUUUUGACGUUACCAACAGAAUAAGCACCGGCUAACUUCGUG